CCUACGGGUGGCAGCAGUGGGGAAUCUUGCGCAAUGGGCGAAAGCCUGACGCAGCCAUGCCGCGUGAAUGAUGAAGGUCUUAGGAUUGUAAAAUUCUUUCACCGGGGACGAUAAUGACGGUACCCGGAGAAGAAGCCCCGGCUAACUUCGUGCCAGCAGCCGCGGUAAUACGAAGGGGGCUAGCGUUGCUCGGAAUUACUGGGCGUAAAGGGAGCGUAGGCGGACAUUUAAGUCAGGGGUGAAAUCCCGGGGCUCAACCUCGGAAUUGCCUUUGAUACUGGGUGUCUUGAGUAUGAGAGAGGUGUGUGGAACUCCGAGUGUAGAGGUGAAAUUCGUAGAUAUUCGGAAGAACACCAGUGGCGAAGGCGACACACUGGCUCAUUACUGACGCUGAGGCUCGAAAGCGUGGGGAGCAAACAGGAUUAGAUACCCUAGUAGUC
Molecule: ribosomal RNA, 440 nt
Filed under: uncultured bacterium
Lineage: Bacteria
Description: partial 16S ribosomal RNA
Rfam family: Bacterial small subunit ribosomal RNA
Source: RNAcentral